CUGAAACCGCCGAAAGAUCGGGACCCGUCUCGGU
RNAcentral lists this small RNA (34 nucleotides) under Bombyx mori (domestic silkworm). RNAcentral's name for it is "ovarian small RNA-14723". Lineage: Eukaryota; Metazoa; Arthropoda; Insecta; Lepidoptera; Bombycidae. The record is from RNAcentral.